RNAcentral lists this ribosomal RNA (253 nucleotides) under uncultured bacterium. RNAcentral describes it as "partial 16S ribosomal RNA". It matches the Rfam family "Bacterial small subunit ribosomal RNA", at positions 524 to 776 of the family's 1533-position model. The record is from RNAcentral.
UACAGAGGGUGCGAGCGUUGUCCGGAAUCACUGGGCGUAAAGGGCGCGUAGGCGGUUUGGCAAGUCUAUGGUGAAAGCUCGCCGCUCAACGGCGAGUCGGCCACGGAUACUGCUGAACUGGAGCACUGUAGAGGCAGGUGGAAUUCCGGGUGUAGCGGUGGAAUGCGCAGAUAUCAGGAAGAACACCCGUGGCGAAGGCGGCUCUCUGGGACGGUACUGACGCUGAGACGCGAAAGCGUGGGGAGCGAACAGG